This 465-nucleotide ribosomal RNA is filed under the name Vreelandella stevensii. Its description in RNAcentral is "partial 16S ribosomal RNA". It matches the Rfam family "Bacterial small subunit ribosomal RNA", at positions 338 to 795 of the family's 1533-position model. Lineage: Bacteria; Pseudomonadati; Pseudomonadota; Gammaproteobacteria; Oceanospirillales; Halomonadaceae. The record is from RNAcentral.
CCUACGGGGAGCAGCAGUGGGGAAUAUUGGACAAUGGGCGAAAGCCUGAUCCAGCCAUGCCGCGUGUGUGAAGAAGGCCUUCGGGUUGUAAAGCACUUUCAGUGGGGAAGAAAGCCUUGGGGCUAAUACCCUCGAGGAAGGACAUCACCCACAGAAGAAGCACCGGCUAACUCCGUGCCAGCAGCCGCGGUAAUACGGAGGGUGCGAGCGUUAAUCGGAAUUACUGGGCGUAAAGCGCGCGUAGGCGGUCUGAUAAGCCGGUUGUGAAAGCCCCGGGCUCAACCUGGGAACGGCAUCCGGAACUGUCAGGCUAGAGUGCAGGAGAGGAAGGUAGAAUUCCCGGUGUAGCGGUGAAAUGCGUAGAGAUCGGGAGGAAUACCAGUGGCGAAGGCGGCCUUCUGGACUGACACUGACGCUGAGGUGCGAAAGCGUGGGUAGCAAACAGGAUUAGAUACCCGUGUAGUC